RNAcentral lists this ribosomal RNA (267 nucleotides) under uncultured bacterium. Its description in RNAcentral is "partial 16S ribosomal RNA". It matches the Rfam family "Bacterial small subunit ribosomal RNA", at positions 94 to 354 of the family's 1533-position model. The record is from RNAcentral.
AGUGGCGAACGGGUGAGUAACACGUGGGCAACCUGCCCAAAANAGGGGGAGUAACACUUGGAAACAGGUGCUAAUACCGCAUAACCAUAGUUACCGCAUGGUAACUAUGUAAAAGGUGGCUAUACUACCGCUUUUGGAUGGGCCCGCGGCGCAUUAGCUAGUUGGUAGGGUAAAGGCUUACCAAGGCAAUGAUGCGUAGCCGAAUUGAGAGGUUGAUCGGCCACAUUGGGACUGAGACACGGCCCAAACUCCUACGGAAGGCAGCAG